Colias croceus (clouded yellow) is the source of this 906-nucleotide long non-coding RNA. RefSeq lists it as uncharacterized. NCBI's taxonomy places the organism in Eukaryota, Metazoa, Arthropoda, Insecta, Lepidoptera, Pieridae. The transcript is spliced from 3 exons. The record is from RefSeq and is a predicted model, not a curated record.
CACUGGGGUUACACGUCUUUUUUAUUUAAAAAAUAUAUUUAAUUUUAAAUUUAAAUAAUAGAACGUUUCUAGUGUUUGCUUUUGUGCUUUGUCUAUUGCUUUUGUGUUGUGUCCGGACUGAUUGCGACGGUCGCCGAAGACAUGAAGCCCAAAACAACUAUUGGUCGCUGCACAGGACUAGUAAUCCAAUUAUACUCUUGUGCGUGUUCCAAUAGUUAUUGUGGGUGCUUCAUAAUCUACACUGCAAGACUGCGAACACCCUGGCUCUUAUUGGAAUUAUGAUUUAAUGUUUUUAGAUUUACCUGGUCGUACUGAAACAUACUUGAUUCGGGGAAAUUACAAUUUAUAAACAACAAACAAAGAAAACAUAUUUCUAAAUCAUAAGCUUAAAUCAUUUUAUUUUGCAACGCAUGCAUGACGCUGUGCGUUCGACGCACGUGUGCGCUGCAUGUAUACGUGCGCUCGCGCGUCUUCGAAUCAACUUGAUCAGUUUCAGGGUGAAUCCGCACUUAAUUUUUUCACCAUCUUUCACAAUGAUUUCUGUAUUAAAAUGCAAAAUAUUGAAAAGUCGUCUGUUUUUUUUAAUUAUAUUGACUUCUUCACUGAUAAACUAUUGAACCGGAUUUGGAUGAAAUGUGGUACAAAUAGCUUGAGGAUUUUACCUCGGAAAUCUCAAAUCCCAAUAUCAAAUCCCAGGAUUUUUUCGUCUUUUCCUUUGACUAUAUCGGGGAACCCUGGGCGAAAACCUAUUAACAAAUAUACUACUCACAUGUGCGUCAGCGAGAUCAGAAACCUUACACACGUUGCGGCGCUAGGAACAAGAAAUAUGAGCAAAUGUCCACUAAUACGGAGAGGCAAAUGCUGAGUAGUCCACCUUAUCACAAAUACUGACCAAAUACUAGAAUA